CAACGACACAACACUACAAUGUAACACACACACAGAAACGGACCAAGCAUCAGACAAAAUCCCACGAGAAUAACAAAUAUAACAUCAAAACCAAAUACAUGAAUUUGGGAUAGACAAGUACCGUGACACGUCUUAUCGCAAUGUGAAUUUACACUCAAAAAUAAGAGAAAACAAACGACGCAACGUUAAAAUGUAACACACACAGAAACGAACUAUAAUAUAACAAUGGCCAUAUUCCUUACUUGGUACAGGACAUUUUUAAAGGAAAAAAUGGUGGAUUGAACCUGGUUUUGUGGCAUGCCAAACCUCCCUCUUUUAUAGCCAUGUGAAAUACAACAUUAAAAUGACAACUCAACACCACAGGACUACAAUAUGAAUAAAUUGGAG
RNAcentral lists this long non-coding RNA (387 nucleotides) under Mytilus galloprovincialis (Mediterranean mussel). Lineage: Eukaryota; Metazoa; Mollusca; Bivalvia; Mytilida; Mytilidae. The record is from RNAcentral.